RNAcentral lists this long non-coding RNA (1997 nucleotides) under Salvia miltiorrhiza (redroot sage). RNAcentral describes it as "long non-coding RNA (SMIL_LNC001810)". Lineage: Eukaryota; Viridiplantae; Streptophyta; Magnoliopsida; Lamiales; Lamiaceae. The record is from RNAcentral.
AAACCUGUCUUGGGAAAGCAGCGCUAAUCCCCCUGGUCACAAAGCCUACAAGAAAUUCUAUUCUUAAUAGGUCUCGUGAAGCUAAUCUUAAUCAUGGUGAGUGCUUAUAUUCUAUGAUUCACUUAGCCGGGUUUUACAAAAAUUUAAUGAAUAAAUAAUUGAAAACUAAUUCUCUUGAGUUAAGAAACCAACAAUAUUCUUACUCAUCUUUUUAAUAAUUGGAAUUAUAAAUAAAACCAAUUAAAUCAUAAAUACUUUUUUAUUCAAUAAAUGAAGUCAUGUCAUGCUUAGCAUAUAUAAGUAAUUACUUAAAAUAUGCACUAAUAAUAAUUAAUAUUAUUAUAAAAUUAUCCUUUAAAUAAAUUAAUCAAACUAAUAAUAGUUAAUUAAUUAAAAAUAAGAAAGCCCAAUUUAAUUAAUAGGAGGCAGCCCACAAUUUUAAAUAAUUGAAGGUCCAACAUUCAUUUUAAUAAACUGAGCCCAAUUGAAAAUUAAUGGCCCAAUUGAUUUAAUAAGUAAAGGCCCAAACUGAAACAAAAAUAAAUAAAAACUCGGCCCAACACUCAAUUAAAAUCGGCCCAAGUCAAGCCACUGAAAAUUAAAUUAAGAACCCACCCAUAAAAAAAAUCAGCCCAUCACUCCAUCUAAGCCCUAGCCCAACUCAAACCCAACCCCAAAGCCCAACCCUACACUCCACCCCCUUUUCUCCCCCCCCCUCAGCCGCUCACACACACACGUAACAAUCACAGCAGCACCCUCCUCUCCCUCUCUCGGCUCCCUCUUCCCUCAUCUCUCGCUCCCUUCUCUCUCAGCCAUCAGUCCCGCCACCGCGCAUCCUUCCGGCGAGGCAGCCGUCGACCGGCAGCCGCAUCAACCGAAAAGACCAGCCGCCUCCCUCGGCCCCUCUCUCUUCGGCUGGUAACAGCCGCCCACCGUGGAGCUCGCCGGAGGAGCAGCAGCGACGAGCUGCCGCCACCAGCUCUCUCUCUCUGACAGUGGUCGAGCGACAGCAGCCAAGGCCGCCGAGCUCUACCUCCCUCCGCUGAACUUUGGCCGACGGCAGCAGCUUCAUGCCGCCACCAUCGCCGCCCUCUUAUCUCCCUCGGAAUUGUCUCUAUGACUCCCGCCGACGAGCAGCAGCCGGAGCCGCCCGCCGGAGCCCUAACCUCCACCCAGACCAGCUCCGACCAGCCACAUGAACUCUCCCUCGUCCGUGGCCGGACGACAGCAACAACAAGGCUGCCGCGCCCUGGCCUCCCUCUUCCACUCUCGCCGAUCUCUCGACCCCAGCAGCAGCCUCUCGAACUUCACACACACACACACCAUCACACACAAAAGCAUCUUAUGAAAGAAAAAUACUUUGAUAGCUCAAGUGCUGAAAAUUUCUUUUGUGUAUAUGUAUGUAAAGAUUAUACUUGAAGUAAAAUUUUGUCAUAUGGUCAGUACAUAAAAGUUCAUGUGUCUCUGGUAUGAGGGAUGACUCUUAGUGUAUAUAUGAUGCUGGAUUAUCGAUUACCUCCGUGAAAGCAGACUGGUUUUCUCCAAUUUACGGAUGAGAGAGGAUUUCAGAUGAAGCUAUUGCCUGUUGAUUAGAGUUGUUAUGUGUGGGUUGUGUCUGCUUGGAUUAUCAUAGAUGAAAUCAAUGCAGGCUUUCUGUAAAAAUACAGAAGCAGAAACCUUCCGUGAAAGAAGAAAAAUGAUGAGCUUGUUGUUGAAAAGCUAAUUGAAGAAGGGAAAAGCUCCACGGUGAGAGGUUUGUGUGAAAGAUUUGGCUGAUUUGCUAAGUGGAAUUUUGACAGCAUAAAAACAAAAGAAAGUGGAAACAAAAGAGAGUGGACAACUAAAGCAAAAGAAUUUGAUAAGAUAUAAGAUGAUUUGAUAAGAUAUGAGAGGAUUUAAUUGUGACAUGUAUGAAAAAAAUAAUCAUGAUAUAGGGUGGCUAUUAGGAACAUAAAAUACCGGGACUGUAAUAAUACUUCAGGGUUCGCUAAAUAAAU